UCCUUUGGUUAUGGAUCACUGAAGGCACGUCCUGUCAGAUUUCUGUUCUGGUUUUUGCCAGACGGGAGCGCCGUCAACAUAUCCCUUUCUGCGAUAAGUGUUUCUGCUUGUUCUGGUGUUAUGCCGGGAUUUGAGCGGGGACAGGGUUUGGGCUAGUAGCUCAGUUGGUUAGAGCACACGCUUGAUAAGCGUGGGGUCGGAGGUUCAAGUCCUCCCUGGCCCACCACCAGGCCUGCUGCGUGAGUGGUAAUCUGGUUUUUGGGGGCAUAGCUCAGCUGGGAGAGCACCUGCUUUGCAAGCAGGGGGUCGUCGGUUCGAACCCGUCUGCCUCCACCAAAACCGGGUUUUGGCUUUUGGUGUUGAGAGUAGCCUUAUCGCAAGGGAGUGUAGAGAUCGGACACUCUGUUCUGGAACCUGCGAUAGCGGGGCUGGAAUGGUAUUGUCUGGUAAGUUUGAUCUUUGUCAGUGUGAAUCGGUUGGUGCGUAUCUGUGCGUGCUGUUUCUGUGGGUUGGUCUGACCCUCGGGCUUUUUUAGGUCCGUGUUAAGCAGGAAGAGCGUAAGCGACCAGAUACGUUUUAAGAUGAAGUAUGACGUGCUCGGAUGCGUCAUGCGGGAAGCCUUUUGUAUGUCUUAGGAUGUAUGGAUGGUUUCUGUGCAUGGGGUGAGUGAGCGCGAUAAGGGCAUUCG
Molecule: transfer RNA, 688 nt
Filed under: Acetobacter senegalensis
Lineage: Bacteria; Pseudomonadati; Pseudomonadota; Alphaproteobacteria; Acetobacterales; Acetobacteraceae
Description: partial miscellaneous RNA
Rfam family: tRNA (bases 150-223)
Source: RNAcentral